This 253-nucleotide ribosomal RNA is filed under the name uncultured bacterium. RNAcentral's name for it is "partial 16S ribosomal RNA". It matches the Rfam family "Bacterial small subunit ribosomal RNA", at positions 524 to 776 of the family's 1533-position model. The record is from RNAcentral.
UACGUAGGGGGCUAGCGUUGUCCGGAUUUAUUGGGCGUAAAGCGCGUGUAGGCGGCCAGGCAGGUCUGCUGUGAAAACUCGAGGCUCAACCUCGAGACGUCGGCGGAAACCAUCUGGCUAGAGUCCGGAAGAGGAGAGUGGAAUUCCUGGUGUAGCGGUGAAAUGCGCAGAUAUCAGGAAGAACACCGGUGGUGUAGACGGCUCUCUGGACCGUAACUGACGCUGAGACACGAAAGCGUGGGCAGCAAACGGG